CAUGCAAGUCGAACGAAGUAGCAAUACUUAGUGGCAGACGGGUGAGUAACAUGUGGGUAUCUACCCUUUGGCCUGGAAUAACACGAGGAAACUUGUGCUAAUACCGGAUAAGUCUUUACGGAGAAAGCUUUAUGCACCAUUGGAUGAGCCUGCACUUGAUUAGUUUGUUGGUAGGGUAAUGGCCUACCAAGACUAUGAUCAAUAGCUGAUUUGAGAGGAUGAUCAGCCACAUUGGGACUGAGACACGGCCCAAACUCCUACGGGAGGCAGCAGUGGGGAAUCUUGCACAAUGGAGGAAACUCUGAUGCAGCGAUGCCGCGUGAGUGAAGAAGGCCCUUGGGUUGUAAAGCUCUUUCGUCGGGGAAGAAAAUGACUGUACCCGAAUAAGAAGGUCCGGCUAACUUCGUGCCAGCAGCCGCGGUAAUACGAAGGGACCUAGCGUAGUUCGGAAUUACUGGGCUUAAAGAGUUCGUAGGUGGUUGAAAAAGUUGGUGGUGAAAUCCCAGAGCUUAACUCUGGAACUGCCAUCAAAACUUUUCAGCUAGAGUAUGAUAGAGGAAAGCAGAAUUUCUAGUGUAGAGGUGAAAUUCGUAGAUAUUAGAAAGAAUACCAAUUGCGAAGGCAGCUUUCUGGAUCAUUACUGACACUGAGGAACGAAAGCAUGGGUAGCGAAGAGGAUUAGAUACCCUCGUAGUCCAUGCCGUAAACGAUGUGUGUUAGACGUUGGAAAUUUAUUUUCAGUGUCGCAGCGAAAGCGAUAAACACACCGCCUGGGGAGUACGACCGCAAGGUUAAAACUCAAAUGAAUUGACGGGGACCCGCACAAGUAGUGGAGCAUGUGGUUUAAUUCGAAGAUACGCGCAGAACCU
RNAcentral lists this ribosomal RNA (869 nucleotides) under uncultured Alphaproteobacteria bacterium. RNAcentral describes it as "bacterial SSU rRNA". It matches the Rfam family "Bacterial small subunit ribosomal RNA", at positions 54 to 971 of the family's 1533-position model. The record is from RNAcentral. Lineage: Bacteria; Pseudomonadati; Pseudomonadota; Alphaproteobacteria.